UGUGUACUCUCUCCGUCCCAAAAUUCUUGUCUUAGAUUUGUUUAGAUAUGAAUGUAUCUAGUCAAGUUUUGGUAUUUAGAUACAUCCAUUUUUAGACAAAGAUAAGACAAGAAUUUUGGGACGGAGGAAGUAUUUC
RNAcentral lists this microRNA precursor (136 nucleotides) under Hordeum vulgare. Its description in RNAcentral is "microRNA MIR1122". It matches the Rfam family "MIR1120/MIR1122 microRNA precursor family". Lineage: Eukaryota; Viridiplantae; Streptophyta; Magnoliopsida; Poales; Poaceae. The record is from RNAcentral.